This 2082-nucleotide long non-coding RNA is filed under the name Mus musculus (house mouse). Its description in RNAcentral is "RIKEN cDNA 1810014P07 gene". The record is from RNAcentral. Lineage: Eukaryota; Metazoa; Chordata; Mammalia; Rodentia; Muridae.
AGGAGGCGGGACUUCUGCGUCGCCAUCUUGUUAAGGGGCGCGUCCAUCCUGCAGCGGCCAUGUUUGUGAGGGGCGGCCUCCGGGUAUAAGAUGUGCAGGGAAGCAGUUUCAGGUCUACCCGUGAGUGGAGACCUCUUUACGUACUUGAGAGCUUUUAUCUUAACUUCCUUCUUUCUUUUCAAACAUCUUCCUUCUUGCAUCCCUCAGGGCAUCCCUGCACCGUUUUUUAGGCUAUCCUCGUUCAAAUGUUCUUGCUCCUGCAAGGCUCAGCCUGCAAGCCCUGGCCCUUCAGUCCCAACUUGAACUGCUCUGCCCUUUGGGAUCUAAUAUGGUCUUGCACCGUUAAUCCUUUCUGUCCUGUGUUCUUUCGCAUUAGCUUGUUUUCUGGUGAAAUGAGAACAGCCUGCAGACAUCACGGAAGGCAUGAAGAAGGCUCGCAGCACACCAUAUUAGCCUGAGAUUCCUAGGUCUUACCUGGGCUUCUGGCUUUCUUUUAGAGGCUUGUUCAUGCUUAGGAUUUUAGAGUGUUUAGACCUUGGACUUGGAGAUGUUUUGACUAUAACCCUACCACAGGACAUAGACAUAGAGCUGCCACCAAAGUUUUACAAGUCAGUACCUUUUCUUUUUCAUUUUUUUAAUUAGAUAUUUUUAAAAUUUACAUUUCAAAUGCUAUCCUGCAAGUUCCCUAUACCCUCCCCCCGCCCUGCUCCCCUACCCACCCACUCCUACUUCUUGGCCCUGGCAUUCCCCUGUACUGGGGCAUAUAAAGUUUGCAAGACCAAGGGGCCUCUCUUCCCAAUGAUGGCCGACUAGGCCAUCUUCUGCUACAUAUGCAGCUAGAGACACAAGCUCCGGGGGGUACUGGUUAGUACAUAUUGUUGUUCCACCUAUAGUGUUGCAGACCCCUUCAGCAUCUUGGGUACUUUCUCUAGCUACAAGUCAGUACCUUUAGCAUCUGUGAAGUGCUAUGGUUUUUUUGUUUUUGUUUUUUUUAUUAAAAGAAAAAAGUUAGCUGAGCAUGGUGGACAUAUGAGUAGUCUCAAUUAUUUAGGAUAGUGAGGUGGUGCAUCAUUUAGAGUCCACAGUUUUGAAAUCAGCCUGGACAACAGUGAAACCUUAAUAAUAAUAAUAAUAAUAAUAAUAAUUAAUUUUUAAAAAAUUGUGGUAUGGCAAAAAAACUAAAAGUAGAUAGAUGUUGUCUGAAAGAGUGGGGAUGUGGUUCAAAAAGCUGCCAUAGAUCCCUCAGGUACCUACGUUCCAUUCUUGUACUGGAUAUUAUCUCACACCGCAGGGCCUCUCUGCUUCGGGAACAGAGCAGGCCUGUGUGCACACACAGCUCUGUCCUUCCGUGUCUCUUUCUAAAGAUAAAUUUGCCCCCGUGGAAUUACUAGGUCAGAGAUGAUGAGACCAGAAUCGAAGCUCCUUGUUUCUACCCACUUAUCUCCACUCCCGAGUCCGUUUCUCUAUGUGAAUAAUAACCCCACCUCAGUGUUUGGAGGAGAAAAAAAAUUUUUUUCAGAUCUGUGUUUUCUUCAUGAUAGAGCCCUUGAGUGAUGGGGCUGGAAGGGACCUGAGAUACCAUCUCACUUGGCUGCCUGACUGCGACCUGCAGAGGGAACAGGUAGUAAAUUCUACCUGAACAGGACGCAGGCUGCUGAAGUUGUUUAGUGCAGUUCUCAGCUUAACACCCGGCACAAGAAAAUCUUCCUCGAGAACAUUGUCUAUCAGCUGUCAAUCAACAACCCUUCCAGCAUUGGUUCCGUCCCAGAAAAAACAGACUCUGCUUCCCAAUUAUCACAGGCGCUGGCCCAGGGGAGGUGAGAAGACGAGAAGGAGAAGCACUGUGUUCUUUUAGAAGUGGCUCCUUCUGUGUUUCUCUGGCACCAAGAAAAAGCCACAGAACUCUGGGUGUGCCUCAUGUGGGUCUCAUCUCUUCCCAGUUUAGGACAAAGUUACCAAAGCGCUCAACUUCCAUGUCUUUUUUUCAACAGACCUCCUCCUCUGGGUCUGAUGAUGGAAUAAAAUGCUCAAGACGAGGGGCUGGAGAGAGGGCACCACAGUUAAGAGCAUUUUGGCCCCUGC